CUCAGUUUCAGUGUUGUAUUAAAUUGCUCCUCCUGCGCCUCCUCUCCUCAUCCUCCAAACCCUCUAAUCUGUCAGCAGUAAGCUCACUUUCCAAGUCACAAGGCCGUUCUCUGCCAACACUGACAACAUGCUGGGGACCCUCUGCACUCUCAUCACUGCUCUAACAUGUGUGAGUGGUGUGACGGUGGUGACACAGAAACCUCCAGUUGUGACGGUGAUGAAAGGAGAGACAGCCACCAUGGACUGUAACCUGGGGACUGUUACUAACACUUAUGCUCACUGGUAUAAACAGAUUCCUGGAGGAGUUCCUCAGUAUGUAUUACGUUUUCAUCACGGCUCAAGCUCUCCAGGCUAUGGCUCUGGUUUCUCCUCUCCAAAAUUCACAUCUACUCAUCAGUCAACGUCAGAUUAUCGUUUGAUCAUAAACACCAUCGAGGAGGGAGACUCAGCAGUCUAUCACUGUGAAACAUGGGACACCUCUGUGAAUGAGUGGGUAUCACAGUGAUUUACACUGUGACAAAAACCUCUUCACUAAAUACUUCUGCUUUUUGAGACUCUGACACAUCUUGACUGGGAGAGAAGCCAUCAGUCAGUGCUUUCUGUAACUUCCCCUCAUAUGUAUUGAACAUACAUUUUCAAACUUACUGGCUGUCUAUUAUACAUGCACACUAUUCACACAAGUAAAGACUAGUCAUGAUCUCAUACACUGUUGAAAAAAACAUUGUUUAAGUAAAUAUUAAUAUGUCUUGCUACUCAUCACACUCAAUUAAAAUUAUAGAAAGUUUGCAAUAGCUUCUUAUUUGAUUAUCUAAAUUAAAUGAUCCUUCUGGAGAUAAAUCCUCUGGUGCAGAUGUAUAUCUUUGAACUUAGACUUGCACUAAACAGUAAUCCAACUGCAACAUUUCCACUUUCUUAAUAGGACCAAAGUUCAUCUGAUGGCAGAAGAUGCCAGAUCACUUCAUCAUAUUCAUGUUACUACUUUCAAAUGAAACAAAAAAGAAAAAACUAAACUUGUUGCACGCCCAGAAUUAUUAAUAUUGAUGUAAAGGACAUCAGCAGGCCUACAAAGACAACUUGAACAACAAAGUGGAACAAACUGCUUGUGGAUAUGAUGCAAAAAUACAUUCCGGUAAAUUCUAUAAAUGAAUGAAUGAACAAAAACAGUGUUGAGUUUAAGCCCCUCCUCUUCCCCUUCUCCUCUCCUCAGUGUCUUUAUAAGCUUCUGUGUCUCCUC
This is a non-coding RNA of Anoplopoma fimbria (sablefish), 1234 nucleotides long. NCBI's taxonomy places the organism in Eukaryota, Metazoa, Chordata, Actinopteri, Perciformes, Anoplopomatidae. The record is from the annotation of a RefSeq genome assembly.